AGUUAAUUGGCAUGAAGAUUAUAAGGUAUUGCAAAUGGAUAACAGCGUAUCUGGAAUGAGUCAUUUUUUUUAACCUUACUGGCACACGCCUUUACUUCCAGUAAGAGAAGCUCGAGCUGUACGCCCGCCCCUUCGCCUUCCCCCUCUGCUUAUAAAAUGAAAUUACAUCGACGCCAGUGGCUCUGGAGCUGCCCAACAAGGAGUUAACACCUCAGAUGGAGAGACCUGGUGGAGAGAGGAGUGGGAGGAGAAGGAAAAGGAGGGUGUGAAGUAGAAAAGGAGUGGCUGGCAGCAGGCGCAAAGGAGGGUGUCACCGGCGGAGGAGAGGAGCAAACACGAAGGGCUUGAUCUCUGAAAUCUCUGAGUCAUCGUACAGAAUGGGAUCCAGAGAGCUGGUGUUGCCACAACGGCAGCUGGCUGCUGAGCCGACAGAGAGAGGGCAUUUUCACUUUGGGAGAGAGAGAAUUUGAAACAGCUCUAACCUUUCUUCAACAAUGCAGCCACUUUACGCUGUGGAAUUCCUAAAUCAGCGAGAGCCGUUCCGAGGCACCUGUUCUCGUCAUUGCAUCGGUCCUCUGAGAAAGUCUAUAACUCAGGAGAAAAGGAACACCGCGAGGCAUCAGCAACUUGUAGACAAGGAGGAGAUUUCUAAAACAAACUGCUGGCAUAACAGCUGUUACACACACACACACACACACACACACACACACACACACACACACACACACACACACACACACACACACAAUCAUUUAUUACAAGCAUCCGACUGUUGGACAUCACCAAACUGUUAUGUUACAUCAAGGUGUGUGUAGGCCAAAGUGUGUGUGUCUAUGUGUUAACUUUGUCUCUAUGACGAUGAUGUCAUGUUAGCUGUCCACCUGAUCAAUAGUGAAACGCCAUGACCCAUAGAUCACCCCCCACAUCCCCCAUGGCUCCACCACAGCAUGAACGAAGGAAAUUCAAAUCCUGGUCAGGUCAUACCAAAGACCUUCACAAUGGGACCCAAUGCCUUCCUGCUUGACACUCAGCUGUAAGGGGUUGGAUUGGGGGCUUAAACCACAAAAUAGUUCCCGAGCGCAGCCAUAGCUGCAGCUCAUCGCUCCCCACAGGGGUGGGUCAAAUGUGCAGAUGAACUUCAACAGUGUGUGAUGAAUUAAUGGGAACAUGCUGUCUUUGUCCAAUAGACUAAUGAGGGGGCACACAUUAUUAUUAUUAUUAUCAUUAUUUGGGCUAUUUAUGAGAGUAAUU
This is a long non-coding RNA of Nothobranchius furzeri (turquoise killifish), 1251 nucleotides long. RefSeq lists it as uncharacterized. The record is from RefSeq and is a predicted model, not a curated record. Lineage: Eukaryota; Metazoa; Chordata; Actinopteri; Cyprinodontiformes; Nothobranchiidae.